Molecule: ribosomal RNA, 418 nt
Filed under: Erythrina stricta
Lineage: Eukaryota; Viridiplantae; Streptophyta; Magnoliopsida; Fabales; Fabaceae
Description: eukaryotic LSU rRNA
Rfam family: Eukaryotic large subunit ribosomal RNA (bases 309-418)
Source: RNAcentral
CCAUCGAGUCUUUCAACGCAAGUUGCGCCCCAUUCCAUUAGGGGCAGGCCACCCCGGCCUGGGCGUCUCAUGUCCUUCCCCUCCUCUCCUCUGCCUCGCGCAAACGUCGGAAGACGUUCGGGGAACGGAGUGGGUGGAAGUUGGCUUCCCACGAGCAGCAUCGUCUUGUGGUUGGCUGAAAAUCGAGGUCGCGGUCGAGCGCGUCACGACAACGUGGUGGGACGAGCGCUUGCUCGAGGCCAGUCGUGCGUGUCUCGGCCCGUGGUCGACUCGCGACCCAUAAACAGGUCCACGGACGUCUCGUAGGGAGACCACAGGUCAGGCGGGGCCACCCCCUGAGUUUAAGCAUAUCAAUAAGCGGAGGAAAAGAAACUAACGAGGAUUCCCCUAGUAACGGCGAGCGAACCGGGAAGAGCCC